AAGUCGCGCUGUGGCAGUCGCGGCGCAAGGUUACUUGCGCUGAGGAAAGUCCGAACAUCGCAUGGCAGGAUGCCGAACAAGGUUUCCGUUUGGGAAACACAAGUUCGGGCGAGCAGAAGCAAUUCUGUCUCGACAGAGUAGUGCAACAGAAAGCAUACCGCCACGUGCUGACACCACAGUACGGGGUAAGGGUGAAAAGGUGGUGUAAGAGACCACCAGUUGCUUCAGUAAUGAAGCAAGCUAUGCAAACCUCUCCGAUGCAAGACUAAGUAGGGAAGCUUUUUCAGUGAUGCCAAUCACUGAAAAGAGAGUAGCCAGCUCAAUCUGCCUUGGCAGGAGCUUCCGGGUAAGUCGCAUAGAGAAAUGACUGCCGCCCUGACCUUGUCAGGGUAACAGAAUUCGGCUUACGGGCGCGACUUUAUU
RNAcentral lists this RNase P RNA (423 nucleotides) under Candidatus Thermochlorobacter aerophilus. RNAcentral's name for it is "Candidatus Thermochlorobacter aerophilum RNase P RNA component class A". It matches the Rfam family "Bacterial RNase P class A". From Rfam's summary of the family: Ribonuclease P (RNase P) is a ubiquitous endoribonuclease, found in archaea, bacteria and eukarya as well as chloroplasts and mitochondria. Its best characterised activity is the generation of mature 5'-ends of tRNAs by cleaving the 5'-leader elements of precursor-tRNAs. Cellular RNase Ps are ribonucleoproteins. Lineage: Bacteria; Pseudomonadati; Chlorobiota; Chlorobiia; Chlorobiales; Candidatus Thermochlorobacteriaceae. The record is from RNAcentral.